Molecule: long non-coding RNA, 398 nt
Filed under: Equus caballus (horse)
Lineage: Eukaryota; Metazoa; Chordata; Mammalia; Perissodactyla; Equidae
Description: lncRNA (ENSECAG00000051485.1)
Source: RNAcentral
AAUUAUUAUUAUAAAGCUAAUUUAGCCCAGAAAAAGAGAGUGAAAUGAUUAAGGAUGUCACUUGCCUAUUCGUGGGACCCAUCUACACAGUGGAGAGGAAGAAGCUACAGUCAGUGCUCAAGACGAAUUCGCGGGCAAUCAAGAGAUGCUGAUGGAUGAUGCAAGAGAAUCAAAAAGGAAUACCCCCUAUCUUUGUUAUCUGACCAAUUCUGUUGUGACAGACCAAUUUCUGUACAUCUUUCAAGACUCAGCUCAAGCAUCUCCUCCUCCAGGAAGACCUCCGUGAACACCCAGGCAAGGCUUAGUGCCCUUCCCCUGUACUCCCACAGGACGUUCUGCCUCCUUUUAUCCUCAUGUCCACCACAUUAGAUUGAAAUUGCAUGUUCUCCUGUGUAUCC